This 92-nucleotide ribosomal RNA is filed under the name Phaseolus vulgaris (common bean). The record is from RNAcentral. Lineage: Eukaryota; Viridiplantae; Streptophyta; Magnoliopsida; Fabales; Fabaceae.
AACGGGCGUAUUCUUACUCCGCAGUGAGCGUGCUUGGGCGAGAGUAGUACUAGGAUGGGUGACCUCCUGGGAAGUCCUCGUGUUGCAUUCCC